UAAAACCACUCUGGAGAGUCUCCGAUUGGAGCGCCGAAGGUGUAACACAAGAAAGAAUUCUUGUCUAUCUCUCAGGCAAAAGGACAGGGCAUAAAUA
Regulatory RNA element from Clostridiales bacterium CHKCI001, 97 nucleotides. It matches the Rfam family "Glycine riboswitch aptamer". From Rfam's summary of the family: This family represents the bacterial glycine riboswitch. Glycine riboswitches usually consist of two metabolite-binding aptamers domains with similar structures in tandem. The aptamers cooperatively bind glycine to regulate the expression of downstream genes. NCBI's taxonomy places the organism in Bacteria, Bacillati, Bacillota, Clostridia, Eubacteriales. The record is from Rfam.